Molecule: small nuclear RNA, 107 nt
Filed under: Pan troglodytes (chimpanzee)
Lineage: Eukaryota; Metazoa; Chordata; Mammalia; Primates; Hominidae
Source: RNAcentral
AUGCUCACCUCGGCAGCACAUAUCCUAAAAUUGGAAAAAUACAGAGAAGAUUAGAAUGGCCCCUGCGCAAGGAUGACACGCAAGUUCGUGAAGUGUUCCGUAUUUUU